GACGAACGCUGGCGGCGUGCUUAACACAUGCAAGUCGAACGGAAAGGCCCUGCUUUUGUGGGGUGCUCGAGUGGCGAACGGGUGAGUAACACGUGAGUAACCUGCCCUUGACUUUGGGAUAACUUCAGGAAACUGGGGCUAAUACCGGAUAGGAGCUCCUGCUGCAUGGUGGGGGUUGGAAAGUUUCGGCGGUUGGGGAUGGACUCGCGGCUUAUCAGCUUGUUGGUGGGGUAGUGGCUUACCAAGGCUUUGACGGGUAGCCGGCCUGAGAGGGUGACCGGCCAAAUUGGGACUGAGAUACCGCCCAGACUCCUACGGGAGGCAGGAGUGGGGAAUAAUGCACCAUGGGCGGAAGCCUGAUGCAGCAACGCCGCGUGCGGGAUGACGGCCUUCGGGUUGGAAACCGCUUUCGCCUGUGACGAAGCGUGAGGGACGGUAAUGGGUAAAGAAGCACCGGCUAACUACGUG
Molecule: ribosomal RNA, 468 nt
Filed under: uncultured bacterium
Lineage: Bacteria
Description: partial 16S ribosomal RNA
Rfam family: Bacterial small subunit ribosomal RNA
Source: RNAcentral